RNAcentral lists this long non-coding RNA (346 nucleotides) under Capsella grandiflora. RNAcentral's name for it is "long non-coding RNA (CGRA_LNC000821)". The record is from RNAcentral. Lineage: Eukaryota; Viridiplantae; Streptophyta; Magnoliopsida; Brassicales; Brassicaceae.
UUGAUUUCUUUCUUCCCCAUAAUUUCUCUAAACUCUCUCUGUUUCUUGCUUCCUGAUGAAUGAUUCUCGUGUUAUUGUUUGCAGAAGAUGAAACCAGCCUACAGAGAAUACCAACGAAGAGAAACAUCAGGAUGGCUAUGAGAUGGUUAGUUGAAGGGAACAGAGCGAGGGACUCACUUGUGUUCCAUUUCUCUGGUCAUGGAUCUCAGCAGAAGGACUACAAUGGGGACGAGAUCGACGGUCAAGAUGAAACCUUGUGCCCUUUAGACCAUGAAACAGAAGGAAAAAUCAUCGAUGACGAGAUUAACCGGAUACUCGUGAGGCCGCUCGUCCAUGGAGCUAAGCU